GACGAACCGAGCGAACGUUGUUCGGAAUCACUGGGCUUAAAGGGCGCGUAGGCGGGUGCUCAAGUCUGUGGUGAAAUCCUCCAGCUUAACUGGAGAACUGCCAUGGAUACUGGGUGUCUCGGGGAAGAUAGGGGUAUGCGGAACGAUUGGUGGAGCGGUGAAAUGCGUUGAUAUCAAUCGGAACUCCGGUGGCGAAGGCGGCAUACUGGAUCUUAUCUGACGCUGAGGCGCGAAAGCUAGGGGAGC
Molecule: ribosomal RNA, 246 nt
Filed under: uncultured bacterium
Lineage: Bacteria
Description: partial 16S ribosomal RNA
Rfam family: Bacterial small subunit ribosomal RNA
Source: RNAcentral